UCCGGAAUUAUUGGGCGUAAAGCGCUUGUAGGCGGCUUUUCAAGUCUCGUGUGAAAUCCCCAGGCUUAACCUGGGAAGUGCGCGGGAAACUGGAGAGCUUGAGUGCCGGAGAGGGUCGCGGAAUUCCCGGUGUAGAGGUGAAAUUCGUAGAUAUCGGGAGGAACACCAGUGGCGAAGGCGGCGAACUGGACGGACACUGACGCUGAGACGCGAAAGCGUGGGGAGCAAACAGG
Molecule: ribosomal RNA, 233 nt
Filed under: uncultured bacterium
Lineage: Bacteria
Description: partial 16S ribosomal RNA
Rfam family: Bacterial small subunit ribosomal RNA
Source: RNAcentral